This 497-nucleotide ribosomal RNA is filed under the name uncultured bacterium. Its description in RNAcentral is "partial 16S ribosomal RNA". It matches the Rfam family "Bacterial small subunit ribosomal RNA", at positions 28 to 507 of the family's 1533-position model. The record is from RNAcentral.
GAUGAACGCUGGCGGCGUGCCUAACACAUGCAAGUCGAGCGAACGGACGAGAAGCUUGCUUCUCUGAUGUUAGCGGCGGACGGGUGAGUAACACGUGGAUAACCUACCUAUAUGACUGGGGUAACUUCGGGAAACCGGAGCUAACACCGGAUAAUAUUCUGAACCGCAUGGUUCAAAAGUGAAAGACGGUCUUGCUGUCACUUAUAGAUGGAUCCGCGCUGCAUUAGCUAGUUGGUAAGGUAACGGCUUACCAAGGCAACGAUGCAUAGCCGACCUGAGAGGGGGAUCGGCCACACUAGAACUGAAACACGGUCCAUACUCCUACGGGAGGCAGCAGUAGGGAAUCUGACGCAGUGGGCGAAAGCCUGGCGGAGCAGCGCCGCGUGAGUGGUGGAGGUCUUGGGAUCGUAAAGCUCUGUUAUUGGGGAAGAACAUAUGUGUAAGGAACUGUGCACAUCUUGACGGUACCGGAUCAGAAAGCCACGGCUAACUACGUG